UACGUAGGGGGCAAGCGUUGUCCGGAAUCAUUGGGCGUAAAGAGCGCGUAGGCGGCCCGAUAAGUCCGCUGUGAAAGUCAAGGGCUUAACCCUUGAAUGCCGGUGGAAACUGUCGGGCUAGAGUCCGGAAGAGGCGAGUGGAAUUCCUGGUGUAGCGGUGAAAUGCGCAGAUAUCAGGAAGAACACCCGUGGCGAAAGCGGCUCUCUGGGACGGUACUGACGCUGAGACGCGAAAGCGUGGGGAGCGAACAGG
Molecule: ribosomal RNA, 253 nt
Filed under: uncultured bacterium
Lineage: Bacteria
Description: partial 16S ribosomal RNA
Rfam family: Bacterial small subunit ribosomal RNA
Source: RNAcentral